RNAcentral lists this ribosomal RNA (419 nucleotides) under uncultured bacterium. RNAcentral's name for it is "bacterial SSU rRNA". It matches the Rfam family "Bacterial small subunit ribosomal RNA", at positions 74 to 507 of the family's 1533-position model. The record is from RNAcentral.
CUUCCUUCGGGAAGUGCAUAAAGUGGCGCACGGGUGAGUAACACGUAAGUAAUCUACCCUCGAGUGGGGAAUAACGUUCGGAAACGGACGCUAAUACCGCAUAACGCAGCGGCACCGCAAGGUGACAGUUGUUAAAGGAGCAAUCCGCUUGAGGAGGAGCUUGCGGCAGAUUAGCUAGUUGGUAGGGUAAUGGCUUACCAAGGCUACGAUCUGUAUCCGGUCUAAGAGGACGGUCGGACACACUGACACUGAAUAACGGGUCAGACUCCUACGGGAGGCAGCAGUCGGGAAUUUUGGGCAAUGGGCGAAAGCCUGACCCAGCAACGCCGCGUGAAGGAUGAAGUAUUUCGGUAUGUAAACUUCGAAAGAAUAGGAAGAAUAAAUGACGGUACUAUUUAUAAGCUCCGGCUAACUACGUG